UUUCAGUAGGUGAACCUGCGGAAGGAUCAUUAUUGUAUAACCGAGGUGCGAGGGCUGUCGCUGACCCGACAGGUCAUGCACGCCCGAGUGCCCUCACACACAUCCAUCUCACCCCUAUUUGCACCACCGCGUGGGUCCCCCUUUGGCUUGUUCGGAGGGGGGCUUACGUUUUCACACAAACUUUGUAUGCAGUGUAGAAUGUAUUUUUUGUUUUUGCGAUCACGCAAUCAAUACAACUUUCAACAACGGAUCUCUUGGCUCUC
RNAcentral lists this unclassified non-coding RNA (263 nucleotides) under plant metagenome. RNAcentral describes it as "partial contains small subunit ribosomal RNA, internal transcribed spacer 1, and 5.8S ribosomal RNA". The record is from RNAcentral.